Bos taurus (domestic cattle) is the source of this 1493-nucleotide long non-coding RNA. The record is from Ensembl. Lineage: Eukaryota; Metazoa; Chordata; Mammalia; Artiodactyla; Bovidae.
GGGGCCGGGGCCACCUCUGUGGACAGCAAAGGCAGGCUGGGCUGGGCUGGGCUGGGGCAGACCACCCCUGCCGGAGCACCGGUUCCCUGCAGAAGUAGCCCUGCCCCAGGACAGGCCCGCCCCCUACCUGAGAGGAUGCUGGCGAUAAGAUCAUCGCGCUGACCUGGAAAGCACAGGCAGGGCUGGCUGUGAGAAGCUGGAGAAGGGCAGAGCUAUCCCCAUCUCUCCACCUACCCCCAGGCCGCCCCUUACCUGGGCUGCUGAUGGAGGAGCUGAUGGAGGAGCUGGUCGGGGAGGUGGCGGGGCCUGGGGGCCGGCGCGGGGAGGCGUCCAGCGGGCUGGGCGUCGGGUGUGGGUUCAGCUGGCACCCCAGCUGCUGAGUCUGGGUCUCCUGGCUCGUCUCCGGGCCAGACUGAGCCUGCAAGGGUGAGGUGGAGGAAGUAGAAUGCUCUAUGCUCCUUCCAGAAAUGCUACUCUCUCCAGACCCUUCUUUUAUUUUUUUUAAAUAUUUUGGGGGGAGGGAGCCACACCGUGAGGCUUGUGGAGGACCUUAGUUCUCCAACCAGGGAUCGAACCCAGGCCCUUGGCAGUGCAAGUGCAGAGUCCUAACCACUGGACCACCAGGGAACUCCCCCUCUCUAGACCCUUCCAUCCUUCACAACCUCCUUCAGCCUGUGGCCCUGGACUCCUCUCGUCUGUCACGUGGGGGCUGUGAGAAUAACUCUAUGAGAACAAGACAUGCAUUUCUAACCCCCUUUGGCACAUGGGGUCUGGGGAAGAGAACGUGAGGUCAUGUCUCUAGGAUGUGAGGCCUCACUGCAUAUGGUUAGGAACUUCUAGAUUGUUCUGGAAAGCCCUGGCCCAGCCCCAAGUUCCGUCCUGUCUCUGAGUCCCCCCUCCACCCUUGCCCACAGCUGCUCAUCUUCCUCGAUGCUUAGCUCCUGAUUAAAUCAACGAAGGAAGUGACCGCAGAGGGGGCACUAGUCUCUCCCGCUAAUAACUCCAGACAGCCAGCUUUCUUCCCUGCUGCCGCAGGCCCCCAGGGGACCGGGCCUAGAUGUGUGGCCAGCCUCUGCUCCUGACCCCUCCCCGCAGAAGCCACGGCCCGUCUCAUGGCUCCCAGGACCAUGCUUGAAAAGCUUUUAGGGCUUCCAACUGCCCUGGUGAAGCGGCUGAACUCCUCACCCUGGCUUUGAGCCUGCCGGCAGCCAGAAUUCUAGCCCUGGACAGUCCUGAAGGCCUUUCUUAAGCAGAAGGGAUUUCCACCUCCUUAAAAUGUGGCGAGUAACCCCAGGCAGCUGAGCCUCCUGAACGAGAGAGCCCAGAAGCCCUAGCCGUGCAGCGUGGUGGAAGGGCGCUGGAGGCAGAGCCCAGGGCUGGAGGGACAGUGUGGGUGAACCCAUGAAGCUGACAGCAGCAGCAAGCAGGGAACAGGCUCCUCAGGGAAAAGAGUCCUACCACCAGCUGGGACUAGCAUGGGCAGUAUAGACAGA